Long non-coding RNA from Drosophila arizonae, 1684 nucleotides. NCBI's taxonomy places the organism in Eukaryota, Metazoa, Arthropoda, Insecta, Diptera, Drosophilidae. The record is from RefSeq and is a predicted model, not a curated record.
GAGCGCAAAUAAAGUUGUUUUUUUGUGACGCCGCGUGUGGUGAGAUAUCGAAGCGCGCUUUGUGGCGCACGUUGCGCAUUGUCCAGUGAGUGAACUGCAAACGUAAACAGAUAGUAUCAAGUGCCCGAAAUAAACACAAAUCAUAACAACAACAACAACAAAUCAAAAGCUACAACAACAACAACAAGAGCCCUUCUGUGAGAUUCGUGCGGGCCGUUUAAGGUAAUUGACUAAGUGGAGGACAAUAAGGACUUGAGGUAUUUCAUACAUGUUUGGCUGCACAGAUGAGUGCCAGGAAAAAGAGGCUCCACUGCAGUUGAGGCGGAGUAAGCGAAGCUCAAGCUGUGCUUGUUGACCAAGGGCCUAGCUAUCAGCUAGCACAAAGAGAGGCAGAGAGGAUAAGAGAGAGACAGAGACCGAGAGAGAGAGAGAUAAAGCUGAAAAAGYGGCACACAAUGCGAAACAAAAGGCAAAUGUGGCAAAAACUCUGAAGAGGACUCGUGCAUAUUGAAUUACGCGACAAGUGCAAGCAAGUUUGAGGCAUUUUAAACUGUUUAUGCUUCAGUGGGUGAGCGGGUGAGCGGGUGAGUGGCUGAGCGGGUGAGUGGGUGAGUGGCUUCAGCUUGAGUGGCAAGCGGGCUGUUGCAUGCCUGUCUGUCCGACUGUCCGUCUCGCCAUUAGUGUGAGUGCGCAGUGAAUGCGACUAAGUGAGUGUAUGAACGCCAUUAUUUUGUUAUAACAAUGGUAAAGUUUUUGAGCAGAGUUGCCUACGAGCUGCGAGCUGCGAGCUGCGAGCGCUGAGAGCUAAAAGCCGAAAGCUGCGGAGAGCCGCCCGGCAGCUCCACCUAAGCGAACAUCGCCCUAUAACUGCAGCAAACACUUAACACAAUCAAUACACACUUAUUCACACUCCCACACACACACACACACACACACAUACACGCACACACACACAGGCGCGUAUGCUGUGUGAAAAUGAGUAAAGGAAAAUGAGUUAAUGGAAAUUCUUAGCAACUAUUGUGAUUUGACAGCAGCGUGUAAACUUGAGCACAAAAGACGCCGCCAAUGCUGCCACAGCCGACGCAGCAGCCCCUCCUCCUCCGCCACCUCCUCCCCCUGCCCACAUUGGCGACCCGACACUCGGCGAAUGCUGUUAAAGUGUUGGAGCAACUGCACAAAGGCGACCAAAAACUGACAAUUUAAAGAAAAUUGCAAAGGAAACUCCCUAAAAGCAAGCCAGCGGCCAUAUGGGCGGGGCGGGACGCAGCGAGGGCAUGCCCUCAACUUAGGACACUCUAUACAUACGUAUAUAUACAUAUACAUAUAUAUAUAUAUGUAUUUGCUUUUGUGUGCCGUUUGAAAGAGCGGCUAAAAAAGACAUACAAAAACAACAACAACAGCAACAGCGGCAAAAGAAGGAAGAAAAGAAAAUCCAACUUCGACUUAGCUUCAAAAAUAAUGAGUGGCAAAGGAAGUGCUAAGAUGAGUAGUUCGAGAGCUAAAAAGAAAUACGCACAGAGACGGCACACACACACACACACACACACACAUGUAUACAUACACAGCAUAUGUGUUGUGUUGGCUUCAGUGAGAACGCUUGAAAUGCUGCGAUAACUCCCAAUACACAAACGCAUCAUUAUCCACAGAGAGCGAGAGAGGGAGAGAGAGACAGCGAGAGGCAGAG